UUCUGGCUCAGGAUGAACGCUAGCUACAGGCUUAACACAUGCAAGUCGAGGGGCAGCAUUGGAGUAGCAAUACUUCAGAUGGCGACCGGCGCACGGGUGAGUAACACGUAUCCAACCUGCCGCUUACUCGGGGAUAGCCUUUCGAAAGAAAGAUUAAUACCCGAUGGUAUAAAGAGUUCGCAUGUUCUCUUUAUUAAAGAAUUUCGGUAAGCGAUGGGGAUGCGUUCCAUUAGAUUGUUGGCGGGGUAACGGCCCACCAAGUCUACGAUGGAUGGGGGUUCUGAGAGGAAGGUCCCCCACAUUGGAACUGAGACACGGUCCAAACUCCUACGGGAGGCAGCAGUGAGGAAUAUUGGUCAAUGGACGAGAGUCUGAACCAGCCAAAGUAGCGUGAAGGAUGACUGCCCUAUGGGUUGUAAACUUCUUUUAUAAGGGAAUAAAGUGAGGGACGUGUCCCUUUUUGUAUGUACCUUAUGAAUAAGGAUCGGCUAACUCCGUGCCAGCCGCGGC
Molecule: ribosomal RNA, 510 nt
Filed under: uncultured bacterium
Lineage: Bacteria
Description: bacterial SSU rRNA
Rfam family: Bacterial small subunit ribosomal RNA
Source: RNAcentral